Molecule: ribosomal RNA, 468 nt
Filed under: uncultured bacterium
Lineage: Bacteria
Description: partial 16S ribosomal RNA
Rfam family: Bacterial small subunit ribosomal RNA
Source: RNAcentral
GACGAACGCUGGCGGCGUGCUUAACACAUGCAAGUCGAACGGAAAGGCCCUGCUUUUGUGGGGUGCUCGAGUGGCGAACGGGUGAGUAACACGUGAGUAACCUGCCCUUGACUUUGGGAUAACUUCAGGAAACUGGGGCUAAUACCGGAUAGGAGCUCCUGCUGCAUGGUGGGGGUUGGAAAGUUUCGGCGGUUGGGGAUGGACUCGCGGCUUAUCGGCUUGUUGGUGGGGUAGUGGCUUACCAAGGCUUUGACGGGUAGCCGGCCUGAGAGGGUGACCGGCCACAUUGGGACUGAGAUACGGCCCAGACUCCUACGGGAGGCAGCAGUGGGGAAUAUUGCACAAUGGGCGGAGGCCUGAUGCAGCAACGCCGCGUGCGGGAUGACGGCCUUCGGGUUGUAAACCGCUUUCGCCUGUGACGAAGCGUGAGUGACGGUAAUGGGUAAAGAAGCACCGGCUAACUACGUG